AUUCCCACUGCGGAAGUGUCGUCGGAGGCGGGGCCUGGGAUCAGGUGACCGGAAGUAGCGGGUGAUGGUGUCUCUGUGGCCGGUAGAUGGAGGAGGCGACGAUGGAAGAAGAUCCCAACCACAAUCACUGGCCGACCCGACCUCGAUCACCGACCAACCCUGACUACCUGAGGAAACCGAUCUCUAUCAACCCCGGGACCAACAAAUUCUUGAUGAAUGUGAUCACAGUAGAGGACUAUAAGCGUCUGUACUGGCCCAAGCUGGAGAGCGCCAUCGAACAACUGCUCACACAAACCGCUGGAGACUAUAUCCCGAUAUCAUACGAGCAGAUCUACAGUUGUGUCUACAAGUGUGUGUGUCAGCAGCACUCGGAGCAGAUGUACAGCGACCUCCUGUGUAAGAUCACCCAGCACCUUCACCAGGUCUCCCAGGAGCUGCAGGCAAGUUCUCCAGAGCAGUAUAUAGAGAAGUUUAAUGUGGCCCUGGGCCAGUAUAUGGGAGCUCUACACAGCAUCGUCCCUCUCUUCAUCUAUAUGAAUAAGUUUUAUAUAGAAACUAAACUGAACCGGGACCUGAAGGACGAUCUGAUCCAACUCUUCACCCGCCAUGUGGCAGAGAAGCACAUCUACAACCUGAUGCCAUUACUUAUAGAAGCCCAGUCUACACCGUUCCAGAUCACCCCCUCCACCAUGGCCAGCAUCGUAAAGGGCCUCUACACACUGAGACCUGAAUGGGUCCAACUCGCACCAACGCUCUUCUCCAAAUUCAUCCCAAAUAUUUUGCCUCCCGCCUUGGAGUCGGAGCUGCAGGACUACGCUGCACAAGACCAGAAGCUUCAGAGAGAACUCAUGCAGAACGGAUUUAACAGUCAAGUGACCGGCACAGCACCAAUCAGGGCUGGCCAGACACAGGCUCAUACUGUAGAGGGCACACAUCAGCAGAGUAAUAGAAGCCCCUCCUAAAGAUCUUUUCCUGCAGAUGCCAAAGAACAGGGAAAGAUCAUGUGACCACACAACAGCGCUGCAGGAAUAAGAGGAGACCAGUCCCGGAAAAGAGCUGGAGACGACUUGUCAUACAGUGGUUCCUGCAGCGGCUCUCAGAACUACAGAUAAGAGCAGGGGUCCUU
Rana temporaria (common frog) is the source of this 1126-nucleotide RNA transcript. It is a transcript of the gene named CDK2 associated cullin domain 1, with no coding region annotated. The transcript is spliced from 10 exons. The record is from RefSeq and is a predicted model, not a curated record. NCBI's taxonomy places the organism in Eukaryota, Metazoa, Chordata, Amphibia, Anura, Ranidae.